GCCGGGGUGGCCUAGUUGGUUAGGGCGCGGCACUCAUAAUGCCGAAGUCACGGGUCCGAAUCCCGUUCCCGGCA
RNAcentral lists this transfer RNA (74 nucleotides) under Candidatus Methanophagales archaeon. RNAcentral's name for it is "tRNA-Met". It matches the Rfam family "tRNA". From Rfam's summary of the family: Transfer RNA (tRNA) molecules are approximately 80 nucleotides in length. Their secondary structure includes four short double-helical elements and three loops (D, anti-codon, and T loops). Further hydrogen bonds mediate the characteristic L-shaped molecular structure. tRNAs have two regions of fundamental functional importance: the anti-codon, which is responsible for specific mRNA codon recognition, and the 3' end, to which the tRNAs corresponding amino acid is attached (by aminoacyl-tRNA synthetases). tRNAs cope with the degeneracy of the genetic code in two manners: having more than one tRNA (with a specific anti-codon) for a particular amino acid; and 'wobble' base-pairing, i.e. permitting non-standard base-pairing at the 3rd anti-codon position. Lineage: Archaea; Methanobacteriati; Methanobacteriota; Methanomicrobia; Candidatus Methanophagales. The record is from RNAcentral.